CACACUAUUACAAAUAAACUGUAGAACAAACCACACUAUUACAAUCAGGGUAAGAGAUUACGGACUAGACUGAGAAGAUUACAGACUGAAAAAUUACAAAAUUAAAACAGCACAAUUACUGUUUACAUAUGCAAUAACUGGAAAAGAGUUUCCAGUGUUGAGGGCAAUAUAAAGGAAGAGAAUUCAGAUUGCAAUCACACAUGCUGAUUAUAAAAAUAAGGAGGAGGGAUAGAACCUGGUUGGUGAAUGAGUAUGAAGCUAUGAGGUCAGGAUAGCUUUGAUAGUUGAUGAAGUAUCUCCAGGGGAGAGAGAGAAAAAAGGUAAAGCAGAGAAGAGAAGCAGGGAAGAGAAGGAGUUGUUGGUCUGAAGCUUGGAUUCCAACCUGAG
RNAcentral lists this long non-coding RNA (387 nucleotides) under Amborella trichopoda. RNAcentral describes it as "long non-coding RNA (ATRI_LNC001588)". Lineage: Eukaryota; Viridiplantae; Streptophyta; Magnoliopsida; Amborellales; Amborellaceae. The record is from RNAcentral.